CCUAAGGUAGCGAAAUUCCUUGUCGGGUAAGUUCCGACCUGCACGAAUGGCGUAAUGAUGGCCAGGCUGUCUCCACCCGAGACUCAGUGAAAUUGAACUCGCUGUGAAGAUGCAGUGUACCCGCGGCAAGACGGAAAGACCCCGUGAACCUUUACUAUAGCUUGACACUGAACAUUGAGCCUUGAUGUGUAGGAUAGGUGGGAGGCUUUGAAGUGUGGACGCCAGUCUGCAUGGAGCCGACCUUGAAAUACCACCCUUUAAUGUUUGAUGUUCUAACGUUGGCCCGUAAUCCGGGUUGCGGACAGUGUCUGGUGGGUAGUUUGACUGGGGCGGUCUCCUCCUAAAGAGUAACGGAGGAGCACGAAGGUUGGCUAAUCCUGGUCGGACAUCAGGAGGUUAGUGCAAUGGCAUAAGCCAGCUUGACUGCGAGCGUGACGGCGCGAGCAGGUGCGAAAGCAGGUCAUAGUGAUCCGGUGGUUCUGAAUGGAAGGGCCAUCGCUCAACGGAUAAAAGGUACUCCGGGGAUAACAGGCUGAUACCGCCCAAGAGUUCAUAUCGACGGCGGGGUUUGGCACCUCGAUGUCGGCUCAUCACAUCCUGGGGCUGAAGUAGGUCCCAAGGGUAUGGCUGUUCGCCAUUUAAAGUGGUACGCGAGCUGGGUUUAGAACGUCGUGAGACAGUUCGGUCCCUAUCUGCCGUGGGCGCUGGAGAACUGAGGGGGGCUGCUCCUAGUACGAGAGGACCGGAGUGGACGCAUCACUGGUGUUCGGGUUGUCAUGCCAAUGGCACUGCCCGGUAGCUAAAUGCGGAAGAGAUAAGUGCUGAAAGCAUCUAAGCACGAAACUUGCCCCGAGAUGAGUUCUCCCUGACUCCUUGAGAGUCCUGAAGGAACGUUGAAGACGACGACGUUGAUAGGCCGGGUGUGUAAGCGCAGCGAUGCGUUGAGCUAACCGGUACUAAUGAACCGUGAGGCUUAACCUU
RNAcentral lists this ribosomal RNA (981 nucleotides) under human gut metagenome. Its description in RNAcentral is "bacterial LSU rRNA". It matches the Rfam family "Bacterial large subunit ribosomal RNA", at positions 1950 to 2925 of the family's 2925-position model. The record is from RNAcentral.